GCCGGGGCUCGGACAGGUCCACGGUGGGAUUUGUGCCAACUGUCUGCCGGGCGGGCUCGCCUCGCCCGCUCCAUGCCGCUGGGGCCGGGGGCGCUGCGGCGCGGGGCAGGGGGCGUUCGCCAUGGCCGAGGCGGGGGCCGAGGAGGAGCAGCAGAAAGCGGCGCCGGCAGAUAAUCUUGUGAUGGAAGGGAGCCAAUGUGUUGCCUCUGCAGUCUCCACCCUUAUGAAUCCAAUAACCAACCCUGCCACUGCCUGUUCGUUCAACACAUUUGCUGUUGAGUCUCCAAAAAAGCGCAAAGGAAGUGAUUUUGAUAACCAGAGUGAAGAUGGAGAACAUGUAAAAAUUAAAUAUUUCAGGGAAGCUCAUAGUCAAACAGAAAAACGAAGAAGAGAUAAAAUGAAUAACUUGAUAGAAGAAUUAUCUGCUAUGAUACCUCAGUGCAAUCCUAUGGCACGUAAAUUAGACAAACUUACAGUAUUACGAAUGGCUGUGCAGCAUUUCAAGUCAUUAAAAGGUUCUACCAGUUCUUAUGCAGAAGUUCAAUAUAAGCCUUCAUUUUUACAGGAUGGUGAGCUGAGACAAUUAAUCCUUAGGGCUGCAGAUGGGUUCCUGUUUGUGGUUGGAUGUGAUAGAGGAAAAAUUCUUUUUGUCUCUGAAUCAGUCUGCAAGAUACUUAAUUAUGAUCAGGCCAGCUUGAUUGGACAAAGUUUAUUUGACUACUUGCAUCCAAAAGAUGUUGCCAAAGUGAAGGAGCAACUAUCCUCUUCAGACGCUUCACCAAGAGAAAAGCUUAUAGAUGCCAAAACUGGCUUGCAAGUACGUAUGGAUUUUCAAGCUGGAUCAGCUCGAUUGCAUUCUGGUGCUCGGCGUUCCUUCUUCUGUCGGAUAAAGUGUAGUAGGAUCACAGUCAAGGAAGAAAAGAAAUGCUUGCCCAACUCAAAGAAGAAAGAGCACAAAAAGUACCGUACAAUCCAUUGUACUGGCUAUCUGAAGAGCUGGCCUCCUACCGAGGUGGGAGUGGAAGAGGAGAAUAAUGCAGAAGACAGCAGUAACUUUAACUGUCUUGUUGCAGUUGGGAGAUUGCAUCCUUAUAUUGUUCCACAAAAGAGUGGUGAGAUAAAGGUCAAACCAACAGAAUUUGUUACACGCUUUGCUAUGGAUGGAAAAUUUGUUUAUGUAGACCUACGUGCAACAGCAAUUUUAGGGUAUCUGCCGCAAGAGCUUCUAGGAACUUCUUGUUAUGAGUACUUCCAUCAAGAUGAUCACAAUCAUCUAGCUGAUAAACAUAAAGCAGUGUUGCAGAGUAAAGAAAAAAUAUUUACAAAUUCCUACAAAUUCAGAGCAAAAGAUGGAACUUUCAUUACAUUGAAGAGUCAAUGGUUUAGUUUCAUCAAUCCAUGGACCAAAGAACUGGAGUACAUUGUAUCAACCAACACUGUAGUGUUCUUUCAAGAAAGGCUAGAGACUUGCAACUCAAACUCCUUCAAAUGGAGAAGUCUCUCAGACCUUCUGAGCCUGAAGCCUGGACUUCCCCUGGAUAAGCCUCACCAACCAUGGCUUCUGAUAAGGGUCCCUCCUCCAUACAGACUUCUGAUGAACCCACUAAAAAAGGGUCUAAAAAGCGGGUAACUACAUCCCCAAAUCGGCCACAAAGUACCAUUCUGUGAUCGGGCAAACUGCAUUGGCACCGACCGCACCUUCAGUGCUCGGAGCCGAGAUAGUGAGACCAUCCAGCACCGCCAGUACCGUGAGAGCUAAGGACUCUAAAAGAGCCAAUGCGGACACAGGUGCUAAGGAGAAAUCAAAACCCCAUGCCUCGGCACUGACUCGGCCAAAGCCACAAUCAACACACAGCAGCGCGGCACCGGUGCAGACCGUGGCUCAGUCCUCGAACCCCAAUAUACACUCUGUGUACACACCGGCACAGCCUACAGUGCCAACAUAUGUGCCGCGUCUCCCGGCACCGCCGCAAGCACAGCCCCCGGUGCAGAUCAUGCAGACACCACAACAGCUCAUACGGCACAAAGAUCUCAUCAUCUGAUCUACGCCAGACUGUCCCAUCCUUGGCACUGACAUGAUCCCAGCACAUUCGGCACCAAGUCUCAUUGCCACUCCAUCAUGCUCUGCUCCUCCUUUUUCGAGUGAGGAUGAGGACAGUGAGGAGGGACGAAUAGAUUCUCUCCCGCAAUCUCCUGCCCACCAUGAGCCACCCAAAUCUGGAUCCUUUCAGGGGGCAUACUACGCUGAUCCCAAACAUCUACAGUGGUAUGGCCAACUCUGGGGUCCACCUAUGCCUCUCAAAUCCCAAUCGGUAUACUGGAACCCAUGGGCAAUUUACCUCACACAACAGGGAUUACCCACCACUUCUAGACUCAGCACAUAGCAAUCGCCUGCACCUUCGGUGCCUGGACUUUCGGAACUGGCUGGAGAAGGAGAGGAAGAGGAGGAAGAACCCCCAUACCAGGAAGGGGCACCACCUACCCACCUGUCAUCAUCCUCCCCAGGCGACACCGUCCUGCCUUCUCCCCUAAUAUAGGGGAUGAUUUUGAACAAUUCCAGGACCUAUUUAAAAGAGUGGCUACCUCUCUGGACAUCUCUCUGGAAGAGGUCAGGUGACACAACACAAACUGGUGGACAUCUUGAACACCUCCUCUUCGUCCAAAAUAGCUUUGCCAAUGAACAGCACGAUAAUGGAACCUGUCAAGACCAUUUGGCAGACCCCUGCAACUGCUCCUCCAACCUGCAAGAGGUCUGACAAAAAAUAAUAUGUGCCAGCAAAGGGCACAGAGUUCCUCUUCUCCCAACCGAUACCCAAUUCACUGGUGAUCAACGCAGUCCAUGAACGUGGCAGACAACAGCCCAAGACCACACCUCAUGAUAAGGUCUAGAAAAGCCUCGACCAUUUCGGCCGCAAGACUUACUCUUCGGCUACACUAUACCUCCGCAUAGUUAAUUACAAGGCCUCUCUGGCAAAAUAUGAUUACAAUAACUACACAAAGUUUUCUGAAUUUAUUGAUUUUAUUCCGGAAGAUAAGAGAGAACAAUUCACACCACUUGUAUCAGAGGGAAAACUCAUCUCCAGAACAGCCCUCCAAGCCGCACUGGACUCUGCAGACACAGCUGCGAGAUCAGUGGCAACUGCAGAGGUGAUGCAGAGGGCCUCAUGGCUCCAUCUCUCCAGCUUUCUUAGGGAAGUACAAUCCACGAUCGAAGACUUACCAUUCGAAAGGCUCAAACUCUUCGCCGAAAAGACUGACGAGACUCUUCACAUGCUCAAAGAUUCAUGAGCGACACUGCGAUCUCUGGGGAUCUAUACGCCUAGACCCAAGAAAAGACCGGAGUUGUUAUGCUCCUCAACGUUUCCGCCAUACUCCAUAUUCACAACAUCGGCAGUAUGAGUCACAGGGCUGCAAACAGAGGCCAUCGAGGGGACCCAGCCUGCUCCUCCUGUAGCUGUGUCGCAGCCAGCAACAUCCAGCCAACAAAAUGUGAAGCCUUGGCUGAGGGCCCGAGAACCCCAUGUCUGUCUGUCUGCUGGAGACAUCUACUCUCUCCCGACCAUUUGGAGACUGCCUGCUUCUGUUUUAUCCAAUCUGGAAAACCAUCACAUCCAAUCAAUGGGUGCUAAAAAUCGUAUGAACUGAUUACUCCAUCCCCUUUCUUUUCAAACCUCCUACCCACUCUCCUUCUCCAUCCGUCUUCAGGGACCCAUCUCACGAGCCUCUGCUUUAUGACCCACCUCAUACAUAUAGGAGCAGUAGAACCGGUUCCAACAAAACUCAGAGGGAGGGGCUUUUAUUCCCACUAUUUUCUCAUGAAGAAGAAGUCGGGUGGAUGGAGACCAAUACUUGACCUAGGCCAACUCAACAAGUUCAUCAGGACACAACGAUUCAAGAUGGUCCCACUAGAGAGAGGGGAUUGGUUCUUGGCUCUUGACCUCCAGGAUGCAUAUUUUCAUAUAACUAUCCAUCCUUCCCAUUGGAGGUUUCUCCAAUUUACUAUUGGCCAGGAACUUUUCCAAUACAAGGUUCUUCCUUUCGGUCUAUACACUGUCCCUUGUUUUUUUUUAAAGUACUAGCAGUGGUGGCGGCCUACCUCCGCAGAAACGGGAUCAUGAUAUUCCCCUACUUGGACAACUGCCUGCUGAAAGCACCAACAUGGAAAGUGGCGUUAGAAGCCACCGAACAGAUGGAGACCCUUUCCAUGAGAUUUGUGCAUUUAUUUGGUGGCCUAAAGUCCACUCUAAUGCCAGUGCAAAAGUUGGAGUUCAUUGGGGCCCAUAUCAGCUCUCCCGAGGCCAUAGCCUCCCUACCACGACAACAUUUCCUUGCUCUAACCAAUCUCAUAGCCACAACAUGAAUCAGUCCCCAGGUAUCUAUUGGGACUUGCCUACAACUUCUCGGUCACAUGGCUCCCACAACUUUCGUCAUCAGUCACGUGAGAUUACACAUGCAUUGCCUCCAAGGGUGGCUCCGUAUACAUUAUGUCCUGCACAGACACAGCUUAAACAGAUGUUGGACAAAAUAAGACUUUCUACUCUGGUGGACAAACCCAGACAACGUCUGCACGGGGGUGCCCUUCCUUCAGAAGAUGCCAACAUUAACCAUCACCACAGACGCUUCGCUCCUCAGAUGGGGGACACGCCUGCAUCUGCAUUCUGUGCAGGGUCGCUGGUCCCCUGCAGAAUCCCUUCUCCAUAUAAAUCUGUUAGAACUACGAGCCGUCUGCAACACCUGCUCUCACUUCUUACCAAUCAUCAAAGGCAAGGCCAUUCAGAUCCUUAUGGACAACAUAGCUUGUUCUGUUUUACAUAAACAGACAAGGGGGAGCACAAUCACACUCCCUAUGCAUGGAAUCCAUGAGACUCUGGCAAUGGUGCAUCAGGUACCGUAUCCACAUCUCAGCCUCAGACCUACCUGAAUGCCAGAACACCACAGCAGAUAUUGUAAGCAGGCACUUUUCUCAGGACCACAAGUGGGAGCUAGACAACCACAUACUCCAAAGCAUAUUUCAACAGUGCGGGGGUCCCACAGAUAGAUCUCUUUGCAACCACAUAAAAUACCAGAUACCCCCUUUUUGCUCCAGGCCAGGUCUUGGCAUACAUUCCUAAGGCGACGCCUUGCUCAUCAAGUGGAACGCUCCCCUCCUAUAUGCCUUCCCUCCCAUCCCCCUCCUGAACUGUGUGAUCCACAAGAUCAGGUAGGAGAGAGCGAAAGUAAUUCUAAUAGCCCCUGCAUGGUCCCAACAAACCUUGUAUCCUUACCUUCUCAGGAUGGUGAUGGGUCCAUUAAUCACGCUCCCGCUUCUGCCUCAUCUGCUGUCCUAGAGCUUGGGUUGCACCCUGCAUCUGGAUCCGCAACAACUCCAUCUCGGAGCGUGGCUCCUCCAUGACUCAAAGGAUCUGAGAUGACCUGCUCGAAAGAUGUACAAAACAUAUUAUUGAAUAGUCGCAGAGCAACUUCCUGCCACACAUACAUACUCAAGUGGCGGAGAUUUGAUGCUUGGUGCCAGCAAAACAAGAUGGCAUCCUUUUCAGCCUCCUUACCCUCAAUAUUCGAUUACCUCUUAGAACUUAAAAGGGGUCACAAUGAGUCAGGAGAAGAAGCAUUACUACCCUGUAGUUCCCAGUCCUCAGAAGGCAAG
Molecule: non-coding RNA, 5644 nt
Organism: Chrysemys picta bellii (western painted turtle)
Lineage: Eukaryota; Metazoa; Chordata; Testudines; Emydidae
Source: RefSeq, a predicted model, not a curated record